AUUGAACGCUGGCGGCAGGCCUAACACAUGCAAGUCGAACGGUAACAGGAAGCAGCUUGCUGCUUCGCUGACGAGUGGCGGACGGGUGAGUAAUGUCUGGGAAACUGCCUGAUGGAGGGGGAUAACUACUGGAAACGGUAGCUAAUACCGCAUAACGUCGCAAGACCAAAGAGGGGGACCUUCGGGCCUCUUGCCAUCAGAUGUGCCCAGAUGGGAUUAGCUAGUAGGUGGGGUAACGGCUCACCUAGGCGACGAUCCCUAGCUGGUCUGAGAGGAUGACCAGCCACACUGGAACUGAGACACGGUCCAGACUCCUACGGGAGGCAGCAGUGGGGAAUAUUGCACAAUGGGCGCAAGCCUGAUGCAGCCAUGCCGCGUGUAUGAAGAAGGCCUUCGGGUUGUAAAGUACUUUCAGCGGGGAGGAAGGCGAUGUGGUUAAUAACCACGUCGAUUGACGUUACCCGCAGAAGAAGCACCGGCUAACUCCGUGCCAGCAGCCGCGGUAAUACGGAGGGUGCAAGCGUUAAUCGGAAUUACUGGGCGUAAAGCGCACGCAGGCGGUCUGUCAAGUCGGAUGUGAAAUCCCCGGGCUCAACCUGGGAACCGCAUCCGAAACUGGCAGGCUUGAGUCUCGUAGAGGGGGGUAGAAUUCCAGGUGUAGCGGUGAAAUGCGUAGAGAUCUGGAGGAAUACCGGUGGCGAAGGCGGCCCCCUGGACGAAGACUGACGCUCAGGUGCGAAAGCGUGGGGAGCAAACAGGAUUAGAUACCCUGGUAGUCCACGCCGUAAACGAUGUCGACUUGGAGGUUGUGCCCUUGAGGCGUGGCUUCCGGAGCUAACGCGUUAAGUCGACCGCCUGGGGAGUACGGCCGCAAGGUUAAAACUCAAAUGAAUUGACGGGGGCCCGCACAAGCGGUGGAGCAUGUGGUUUCAUUCGAUGCAACGCGAAGAACCCUACCUGGUCUUGACAUCCACAGAACUUUCCAGAGAUGGAUUGGUGCCUUCGGGAACUGUGAGACAGGUGCUGCAUGGCUGUCGUCAGCUCGUGUUGUGAAAUGUUGGGUUAAGUCCCGCAACGAGCGCAACCCUUAUCCUUUGUUGCCAGCGGUCCGGCCGGGAACUCAAAGGAGACUGCCAGUGAUAAACUGGAGGAAGGUGGGGAUGACGUCAAGUCAUCAUGGCCCUUACGACCAGGGCUACACACGUGCUACAAUGGCGCAUACAAAGAGAAGCAAUCUCGCGAGAGUUAGCGGACCUCAUAAAGUGCGUCGUAGUCCGGAUUGGAGUCUGCAACUCGACUCCAUGAAGUCGGAAUCGCUAGUAAUCGUGAAUCAGAAUGUCACGGUGAAUACGUUCCCGGGCCUUGUACACACCGCCCGUCACACCAUGGGAGUGGGUUGCAAAAGAAGUAGGUAGCUUAACCUUCGGGAGGGCGCUUACCACUUUGUGAUUCAUGACUGGGGUGAAGUC
This 1469-nucleotide ribosomal RNA is filed under the name uncultured Escherichia sp. RNAcentral describes it as "bacterial SSU rRNA". It matches the Rfam family "Bacterial small subunit ribosomal RNA". The record is from RNAcentral. Lineage: Bacteria; Pseudomonadati; Pseudomonadota; Gammaproteobacteria; Enterobacterales; Enterobacteriaceae.